This 274-nucleotide ribosomal RNA is filed under the name uncultured bacterium. RNAcentral describes it as "partial 16S ribosomal RNA". It matches the Rfam family "Bacterial small subunit ribosomal RNA", at positions 523 to 796 of the family's 1533-position model. The record is from RNAcentral.
AUACAGAGGGUGCGAGCGUUAAUCAGAAUUACUGGGCGUAAAGCGCGCGUAGGCGGUCUAUUAAGUCAGAUGUGAAAUCCCAGGGCUCAACCUUGGAACUGCAUCUGAUACUGGUAGACUAGAGUUUUGGAGAGGGAAGUAGAAUUUCAGGUGUAGCGGUGAAAUGCAUAGAGAUCUGAAGGAAUACCAGUGGCGAAGGCGACUUCCUGGCCAAAAACUGACGCUGAGGUGCGAAAGCGUGGGUAGCAAACGGGAUUAGAAACCCGAGUAGUCC